GAUCUAAGUUAGUCUAAAUAUGUUAAAUUAGUCAAUAAUGUUAGCAUAAAUCUACAAUUAUUUUUUAAUUUUUGUUGUUUUGUAUAUCUAAUUUUAAUAAUUCAUCACAAUAAUGUUAGCAUACAUCCACAAUUUUUGUUGUUGUUGUUUAGGAUCUCACUAAAACCAUUAAUAGAGCUUUCUUUAUAACAAUAACGGAAGCAUUAAUAGAGUACAGCAAAGUAAAUAGGAGAAAACAUAAAGUAUGAGAAGAAUUAAUUAUUUGUUAUAUUACUUUAGUUUACUCUACAUAUUUAGAGUAACAAAAGGUGAAAAAUCAGUAAAACUACCAAAUAUCAUUUUCAUGAUUGGAUGUAUUUAAGUGGGAUUCAUGGAGAAAAAAACUACUCCAGUAGAACACAGACUGGUAAUUUGCACAGACUGGUAAUUUGCAAGACCUCGAGCGACCCAGUCAACACUGACCCAUCUGUCUAAGAAGCUCAUUAUCGUCCAGGCUCAAU
Molecule: long non-coding RNA, 500 nt
Filed under: Brassica napus (rape)
Lineage: Eukaryota; Viridiplantae; Streptophyta; Magnoliopsida; Brassicales; Brassicaceae
Description: long non-coding RNA (BNAP_LNC010553)
Source: RNAcentral